AAUGAAAAAAAUGCAUGGCAUACAUCACCAAGAAUCAAAGGUUGUGCCUGGCAGUGUGAUUGACUCUGUAAUAAAGAGAGAAGCUUUGCUAGCUCCUGAUGCAGCUGCUGUCUGCAGACCCCCUGGACUGCCUGGGGAAGUGAGUUGGAGCUCCUGCAGCAGAGGGGUGGAACAGCUACAUGAAGAUCCGAAGGUGGCCAAAAAUAACAGCGCUUUCCAGAUGAGGGAGCCAGUUGUCCAGCACAGUGUAAUGGGAUGGUGGGCCCUGGUGCCACAAUGCCCGGCAUCUCCACUAGAUACAGCUUUGAGAUCUUCAUGA
This 319-nucleotide long non-coding RNA is filed under the name Rhinopithecus bieti (black snub-nosed monkey). RNAcentral's name for it is "lncRNA (ENSRBIG00000045703.1)". The record is from RNAcentral. Lineage: Eukaryota; Metazoa; Chordata; Mammalia; Primates; Cercopithecidae.